GGCUCGAUGGCGGUGGUCCGCACCUGCAUCAAGUUUUCAAGAUGCUUUUGCAUUUCAAGCAGGUCUCCCGUUCGACUCGGGGUCGAGCCU
Non-coding RNA from Mycena polygramma, 90 nucleotides. The record is from the annotation of a GenBank genome assembly. Lineage: Eukaryota; Fungi; Basidiomycota; Agaricomycetes; Agaricales; Mycenaceae.